RNAcentral lists this long non-coding RNA (5873 nucleotides) under Prunus persica (peach). Its description in RNAcentral is "long non-coding RNA (PPER_LNC005507)". The record is from RNAcentral. Lineage: Eukaryota; Viridiplantae; Streptophyta; Magnoliopsida; Rosales; Rosaceae.
AAAUGAUGAAGUUACUCUCCACAACAUCCUUCGGAUGUGUACCUGUAUUAGUGCAUGCUUAUCAGUGCUUUAACAUAUCUUAUCAACAACGAAAAAGCUAUAGGAUUUAAUAUAAUUCUUCGAUUUGGGAGGAUAUCAUUUCCUGCUUGGAUAAGGAUGGCCAAAGCAGCAGGCCCCCACAUGAUCUGGAUAAUACAAGGACAAGCAUAUAAAUGAUUGUCGCUCACCCCACUUAUGAUGCAUGUGAGAAAGAUACAGGUCUAGUAGAUGCAUCAAGAAGGCUAGAACCUCAAAAGGAUAGCUGACAAAUUGUAAUUUCCAAUAUGGCAUAUUUACUUUUACUACAUGGAAAUUCAAGACUUCUAUCUAUUGUUGUCAAGUGGAAGGACUGAUAUUUAAGAGUUUUUUAAGGCACGCAGAAAGACUACUUCUCAAAAACAUCACUACACAUGAGAGCUAUUCGAGCAGUCAGUCUACCAAUUAGAAGCUCAUAGAAGGUGGCAAUUAGAAACUGUGUUUUUAAAUUUGUACCUUACUAAACACUAUCAUUCUCUGUUUCUAUGCUUUUGUAACAGUCUUCAUAUCCUAUUACUCAAGAUUCCAAUAUCUCAAUAAUGGAUACAUUAGCAUCAUUUUAAACGUGUACACUUAUGCUUGCUACAAUCAAAUAUCACAAGUCUGUAUCAAUGUUUCAUUGAUAAUGAUAACUAAUAGGUCUUGUUACGGAAAAUACCUUCUGUGAUACUGCAAAUGCAGCCUGUUCAGGAGUCAUGUUGUCAAAUGGUGUCAAUGCUGUUAAAAGCUCCCAAAGAACUAUGCCAAAACUGUAAACAUCAACUUUCUUCGUAUGGUGUUUCUCUUUGAUCAUUUCAGGUGCCAUCCAACGGUAAGUGCCCGUGAAUCCCUUUGCACUGCCGCACUGUGAUUCUAAGCAUGAGAUGCCAAAAUCUGCAACUUUCACAGACAUAUCUUCCCCUAGCAAUAGAUUUUCUGACUUGAGAUCCCUAUGAAGUAUACUUUGAGAAUGGAGAUAUUGCAUCCCACGUGCAAUGUCGAGGGCUAGCUUCACAACUAGGCUGAGUGGAACAGAAUGUGGCUCCUGCUGAUGUAGAUAUUUUCUCAACGAUCCCCCGCACAAAUACUCAGUGAUAAUGCAGAAAACAGGAGGUUUCUUACAAGCUGCAACAAACUGCAGAAUAAAAUUGGUACACGAAGGUCAGAGAGCACAAAGGGACAGCUACCGUUCCAACAUCAACAAGUUAAGAGGACUGAUUCCAAUUUUCCAGAAUAUAUGUGAUACCAAUAAGACAGGUAAGAGAUGCAAAUAGUUUCUCCACACUGCCAACCCAAAUAUCAAAAAAACAUACUCAGCCUAAUAGAAUUUAUUAAGAUGGAAAGCUCUUAAGCAGGGAAUCUGUAACAAUCAAUCAAUGACUCAACGAUGACUCGUGCAUAUGCCUCAGGAGAUGAGCAUCUCUCUAACAUUAUGCAGAAGCUUUUUCUAUUGCUUUCUUUCAGAAAAAUCUUAGCGUGCAAGGUUAAACUUAAAAGGCAUCAAGGAACUGGGGAAGGAUCUUUGGUUUUCAAUAGACCAAAGAUUACAAAAUUAAGCAGAAGCAGGAAAAUUGAAAAAGUGCAUGUCCAUUGACCAACAAAACAUAAACCAGGACCACAUUCUUCUUUUCUACAGAGCUGAAAAGGCAAGCAACAACACCAUAACCUAACGAGAGAGAGAGAGAGAGAGAGAGAGAGAGAGAGAGAGAGAGCAUAACCAUUAACCAUUAACCAUUGUGGAAACAGAGCUUACAGAGAUGAUAUUUGGAUGGUGCAGCCGAAAGAGCAAAGCCACCUCAGAAGUGAACUGCUUCUCAAGCAAAACAGCCAAGCCUUCAUCCUCCUCAGGCUGGCUUAUGAGCUUAAUUGCCACAUCCCUCUGCUUAUAAACCCCUCUGUAAAUCCUACUGUGUCUCCCUGAAGCAAAUUUACACCCAAUGUACAAUUGGGACAUGUCAGCACUCCACUCCUCCUCCCCUUCACCCUUAAUCUCAGCCCCUGAAGACACCAAAUACUUUGACCAUGACACUGCCCUGUUGUACUCUCCAAGAGAGAGCCUCCUCUCAGGUUUGCCAUUGUUGGAAAUCUGCUUAAACCAGUGAAAAUUCUUCAUGGGUCAGAGCCAAUACUCAUCAAAACCAUAAAAUCUCAACCCCUUUCGGACUCUUCAAGUCACAAAAAGCCUCCAAAUUUCGUGCAAAUCUUGAAUUUCAAGAUGACCCACUACGGAAACAAGUACAACUUGCAAGCUUAAAGUAUUAUUUUUCCUCAUAAACCUACAUUUCGAAAUCAUCGAUUUUCUUGCACAAUUUUAAAAACUUUUCAGAUAGAACUACAAAAUCAAAGUACAGAAUGGUUUGAUGAAGCAGAAGCUGAGAAUAAAGUUCAUUUUUUUCAUGCCAAUAAACAUGUUUUUGGCCAAAAGGAGGAGUCUUUGUUCAAAAAUCUCAAAUCUAUAUAUUCAGACAAAAAGAACUCAAGGAAACAGAGAAAACCACCAUUUGAAUGGAAAAAAGUAGUUCUAAAACGAAGGUUUUUGAGUUUCCAAGGCCAAAACCACACAUGGGUAUUGCAAAGUGAAAAGAAAAACCUGAGGUGGUGAAGGCUAUAAUAGUUAAAGAGAAACUAAAUGAGAAAAAGUUGAGAGCUUGUAAUAAUGCGAAGCUAACAAACAAAAACAGGGGAAGACUGUAGAGAGAGAGAGAGGAGAAUGAGUCGGUUGAGUUAAGUUGAAAUGGGUUGUUGUUGUUGUUGGAGCAGUGAAAGCAUAUGCAAUGAAGGAGCUGGCUCUUCUUCUCUCAUCUCUCUCUCUCUCUCUCUCCCCCCAUAAAACUCACAGCUUCUCUACAAACACCAUUCCUAACGUGCGAAGAUCCACUUCUGAGGGGACAAACUGGAUCCUUGUUGAUUAUGACCUCUACCUAUCUGAAUUUCCUUUUUUACCCUCCUCUUCUCAUUUUUACCUCUUUGCCUUUUAGACUUUUUGAGUUGUCUUCCUUGCAUGCCUAUCCCCCUUUUACUCUUUGGAAUGAGCAAACUAAAAGACCCCAAAACUGGCCUUCAACCUGCCCUUGCACUAACCACCUAGUGUUCUUGGGUUCGAAGGCCGGUAACGCAUUCUCUACAAAACCCAAAAACUUUUCUUUCUUUCUUUUUUUUCCACAUUUUAGUGAUAAUAUCCUUGGUUUUAAAAAUAUAAAUAAAAAUUAAGGGGUGAUAUUGGAUUCAUAUGAAUAAGUGAAACAUAAUCGAUUGCAAAAUGUUGAAGUUUAUUUUAAAGUUAGUAGCAUUACUCAUUAGUAAUUUGUUUGUUUAUAAAUUUAGAGGAAAAGAUUACUAAUUGAUAAUGUAUUGACCAUAAUUAUUUUUUUUAUGUUGUCAUCAACUUAUGAUGACUACACAUAAGUUACCAUUUUAUUCUCAAAUCGUUGUCCCUCAAUAACUUUUACCAAUAUACAAAGUUCAACACAAAGUAGUAAUUUAUGUCUUUUGGUGUUUUAGAAGAGUGACCGUAGGAUACGUGAGGAGGCAAAAUUUACUUUAAAAACAAAGUCUUGGUGAGAUUGGAUUACUUUACUUAUGCUUAAUUUUAUCAAAGUAAUGCAUUAGGGUUGAAUUUUAAUUAAUUUUAAAAGAAUAAAUUAUUUUUAUCAUUGAAGUUUUGAAGAAGAUCACUCGAGAAUUGUUGAGCAAAUUUAAAAUGUAUCUCCUAUUAUGAUACAAAAAGUAAGAAACUAGAAUUCAUCCAUUUUGUAUUCCUUUAUUUAAAAACAAAUGAUUAGUUAUUUUUAAUAAAAGAAACACAAAAUAUCAUCCAACAUAAAAAAUAAAAAUAGUAUUCAUCCAUUUUGUAUUUCCUCAUUCAAAUAUCAAUGAUUAGUUCUUUUAUGGUAAAAGAAACACAAGAUGUCACCCAAACGUCAAAAUAAAAAAUGAGCUUCGACAACACAACCAUGAACAACUACGCGCCAACUCCAAGGCUAGUUCGGUCCCUCGAAAUUUCACAGAAGGGCAUAUUAGUCAUUUCAUUCGAAAGGGACACGUUACAACAUAAAUAGAAGAGAGAGAGACCGAGGAGGAGUAACGUUAUGGCUGAAAAGCAGGUGGGUCCUAUGCCCACACAGAGCGAUCCGUGGGUGUGUCGGAUAAGCCGUAUGGUCCUCUUCCGUAUACGGUCUCUCUCUCUCUCUCUCUUCCCUUUUUUUAUUUUUUUUUUCUAAUUAUUAUCGACGAGCUUUGUCCUAUUUUUUCUGUUUAAAUAAUUUUAAAAUGAGAAACAAAACAAAGAAAUAAAACCCACCCGCUUGUAAAGCUCGUACGGUGCACGCCGACCAUGACCUAGCUAGCCAACUCUGUCUAGGUUGACACAGACAAAGAGGUACAGCUAAAACUGCACCCACACAAGGUACAAGGCUACAAAGCCUGCAACCAUUUCAAUGUUGGGAUCCGACUUCCUUACAGUUUACAACUUGGCUGGGUCCGAAUGUGUCUGGUGGGUGGAUCCAUUUCCAAUCAAAACAAAGUCUAAUUAUAUCACCCCAAAAAACAAAUUAAUUUGUUAUCAUUCAUUUAUGUGACAUGAUAUCCCAACUCAUUUGAAUCCAUACAACAAGGCUUCAAUAUUAAAAACAUGUUGGAGACAAAUUCCUUGCUCACCCAUAUAUCAUAUAUGCCAUAUGAUACAUUACUAUAUUAUGUUUAAAAUUACGUGAAUUAGGUUAAUUAAUCAUAAAUAUGAGUCUAUCUCGUCUUGCACUUUGAAUUCCUUUUCUUACAGAUUAAAUUAUGUUAGAAUAAUUUAGACCAUCAUUUGCAUUAUAAUUAAUUAGUGGUGUUGUUAUGUUGGCUGAUGAUGUAUUAAUUAUUUUGUGGGUUUAGAAGAUUAUCAUCAAGAUCUACCUUCCAUUGAAGAUCAUCUCUGCAUUAAUUGGUAGGUUGGCAUGCUGUACAACUGAUUCAUGAUUAAUUUUCAGUAUCAGUUAAGAUAUUGUUAAUUAGGUUGGUUUUCUAAUCAGGAGUUGGAAUCUUCUAGAUAACUAUACACAUAAUUCAAUCUGUAUAAUAAAAUAUUAAUUCAACAACCCUUGAGUGUAUUUUAGGUGUCAACUCAUUGUCAAGGGUCAAAAUUCCAAAGUGAUUUCAUAUUAAUUGUAUAUUAGCACAUCACGGUAUCGAAAAGAGAUAACAUCUUAAUUAUUUAUUUUAUUGAAAAGAAUCAAAGGGGGGCCCCUUUUAUUUAUUUAUUUAUUUAUUUUUAUUUUAAGCUUUUUUGUAGCACAAAUUUGGGGUGGUGCACAUGCGAUCCGUACCUUGGAAACAUUGAUGAAAUUAAAAUACCACGUGUCCAUGUUAUGUAGUACGUACCAGCUCAGAUUCCAUAAUUUAGCCAAAACUUGUGGUACAGAAUAUAUCCUUAGGCCGUACUAAUUAUGGUUGGUGUGACUAAUUAGAUUAUAAUUAGAAUAUAUAAUUAAUUAAUUAUCACAAAUGACAAAGUUUGGGUGGUGUAAAGUAUAAGCAUAUAUUAUAUUAUAUUAUAUUAUAGACGGACGAAAUUGUUUUGAUGGGUAUGUGAUGAUAUUAUUAGGGUUGCAUGAGAUGAGAUUUGGAUUUAUUGGUGGGGUUUUAUGGAUCGGAGGGCUGAGAUUUGAUGAUGAUGUGCAUGCAUGGAGAUGAAGAUGGAGAUGGACAAGCGAAUGUGAAGGGGAGAAGAAGAUGAUAGAUUGAGGGAGGUUGACUGCUUCGUUAGAAAAAGACGGAUCUGAGAGGGAAUGUUUGUCAUCUAGUUCCGUUUUGUGCACUGCAUCAACAUGGCUGAU